Long non-coding RNA from Notothenia coriiceps (black rockcod), 165 nucleotides. RefSeq lists it as uncharacterized. The record is from RefSeq and is a predicted model, not a curated record. NCBI's taxonomy places the organism in Eukaryota, Metazoa, Chordata, Actinopteri, Perciformes, Nototheniidae. The transcript is spliced from 3 exons.
GUCCUUUUGUUCAGCCUCACAAUGCUAUUGGGUAGUAAAUGUGUUUAUAGGUCCUGCCCUCGGGCCAUACACUCACACAACUUCAGAAUCUUCAAACGAGCAACAUCUCUUUGUUUUAUUGGACUGGAUAUGUUCAGAUUCAACUAAGCAGCAGCUGAUCCAGUA